GGGGUUGUAGCUCAGUGGUAGAGUGCUUGCCUAGCAUGCAUGAGGCAUUGGGUUCGAUCCUCAGCACCA
Molecule: transfer RNA, 69 nt
Filed under: Ictidomys tridecemlineatus (thirteen-lined ground squirrel)
Lineage: Eukaryota; Metazoa; Chordata; Mammalia; Rodentia; Sciuridae
Description: Spermophilus tridecemlineatus (thirteen-lined ground squirrel) tRNA
Rfam family: tRNA
About the family: Transfer RNA (tRNA) molecules are approximately 80 nucleotides in length. Their secondary structure includes four short double-helical elements and three loops (D, anti-codon, and T loops).
Source: Rfam by way of RNAcentral